RNAcentral lists this ribosomal RNA (429 nucleotides) under Chloroflexota bacterium. Its description in RNAcentral is "Chloroflexi bacterium partial 16S ribosomal RNA". It matches the Rfam family "Bacterial small subunit ribosomal RNA", at positions 355 to 776 of the family's 1533-position model. The record is from RNAcentral. Lineage: Bacteria; Bacillati; Chloroflexota.
UGGGGAAUAUUGCACAAUGGGCGCAAGCCUGAUGCAGCCAUGCCGCGUGUGUGAAGAAGGCCUUCGGGUUGUAAAGCACUUUCAGCGGGGAGGAAGGCGGUGAGGUUAAUAACCUCAUCGAUUGACGUUACCCGCAGAAGAAGCACCGGCUAACUCCGUGCCAGCAGCCGCGGUAAUACGGAGGGUGCAAGCGUUAAUCGGAAUUACUGGGCGUAAAGCGCACGCAGGCGGUCUGUCAAGUCGGAUGUGAAAUCCCCGGGCUCAACCUGGGAACUGCAUUCGAAACUGGCAGGCUAGAUUCUUGUAGAGGGGGGUAGAAUUCCAGGUGUAGCGGUGAAAUGCGUAGAGAUCUGGAGGAAUACCGGUGGCGAAGGCGGCCCCCUGGACAAAGACUGACGCUCAGGUGCGAAAGCGUGGGGAGCAAACAGG